GGACCCUGAAACCAGUUCCUCUCAACAUGUUGCUGUUUGUCUACAUGUCUCUGUAAGCUCCGCCUGUAUUCUGUUAUUGUUCUUAAAUAUUUUGCAUUAUUAGCAUUUCUUUAAUAACUAACCUUUGCUACCUGACCGUGUGUUCCAUCAGCGUGUGUGUCCUGGUCUUGUCCUCCUGUUACCUGGCGUUUAAGAUCGUGUCAUUGGAGCAGAGACUGACGGCGCUCGGCUCCGAGUUCACCUCAAACGACUUCCUGAGUGGCAGUCCUAAUGUGGACACAGAAUUCUUCUCUGAACUGCUGACCAUGAACCUGAUGAAGCUAGAGAAGGUGCAGAAGAACCUGCAGAAACUUUUGGAGGAAGCUACCUGAAUGUGAAGAUGAACGUUUACUGUAAAUAUGUUACAGCAGCUGUUACAGACUGUCAUAACUUCCACAUAAUCUGCCCUACAAAGCCAAAAAUACUGCACGAAAACCUGUAAUCCAGGCCGCAGUAGCCCCAAAAAGAGGCAAGCCUUUCUAUUAGGACCUGCGAACAUGAUAAAAAAGGAGCACAGAGGCAGAGCUGCAGCUGAUCCGACUGCAGACAUGCUUAGCAUUAAAUAAAGCUAACAACGAGCUGUUUGUUCACAUUGAGCAAUCUAUUUCAUGCUCCAAUAUUUCACGAAGUGAAAGCUAAUUCUGUGGAGAAUCAUCUUUUUUUAAGUGAAAAUCCUAUGUUGGCCUGACAUAAUCUGGAUUUAGGAUUAGCAUCCACAGGUACAGAGCCACCCAAAGUCUGCAAACUACUCUGGAGGUCUUAAGGUCCUCAGAAGAAAGACUGUACUGUCAUCUGCCUCAGUGUGGUUUCUAAAAAUGACCACAGGAUGGCGCCGAAGAAAAGACAUUUCAAAUACCUACUGUGUGUUUUCGACACACUGUUGUUGUUCUGUUACAGAGACGAG
Long non-coding RNA from Parambassis ranga (Indian glassy fish), 943 nucleotides. The record is from Ensembl. NCBI's taxonomy places the organism in Eukaryota, Metazoa, Chordata, Actinopteri, Ambassidae.